Molecule: ribosomal RNA, 405 nt
Filed under: uncultured bacterium
Lineage: Bacteria
Description: bacterial SSU rRNA
Rfam family: Bacterial small subunit ribosomal RNA
Source: RNAcentral
AAUGGACGAGAGUCUGAACCAGCCAAGUCGCGUGCAGGAAGAAUGUCCUAUGGAUUGUAAACUGCUUUUGCAGGGGAAUAAAGUGCAUCACGUGUGAUGUUUUGUAUGUACUCUGCGAAUAAGGAUCGGCUAACUCCGUGCCAGCAGCCGCGAUAAUACGGAGGAUCCGAGCGUUAUCCGGAUUUAUUGGGUUUANAGGGUGCGUAGGCGGGAUAAUAAGUCAGUGGUGAGAGUUUGCAGCUUAACUGUAAAAUUGCCGUUGAAACUGUUAUUCUUGAGAGUAGAUAAGGUAGGCGGAAUGUGUUGUGUAGCGGUGAAAUGCAUAGAUAUCACUCAGAACUCCGAUUGCGAAGGCAGCUUACUAAGCUACAACUGACACUUAAGCACGAAAGCGUGGGGAUCAAA